This 2902-nucleotide ribosomal RNA is filed under the name Escherichia coli. RNAcentral describes it as "23S ribosomal RNA". It matches the Rfam family "Bacterial large subunit ribosomal RNA". Lineage: Bacteria; Pseudomonadati; Pseudomonadota; Gammaproteobacteria; Enterobacterales; Enterobacteriaceae. The record is from RNAcentral.
UUAAGCGACUAAGCGUACACGGUGGAUGCCCUGGCAGUCAGAGGCGAUGAAGGACGUGCUAAUCUGCGAUAAGCGUCGGUAAGGUGAUAUGAACCGUUAUAACCGGCGAUUUCCGAAUGGGGAAACCCAGUGUGUUUCGACACACUAUCAUUAACUGAAUCCAUAGGUUAAUGAGGCGAACCGGGGGAACUGAAACAUCUAAGUACCCCGAGGAAAAGAAAUCAACCGAGAUUCCCCCAGUAGCGGCGAGCGAACGGGGAGGAGCCCAGAGCCUGAAUCAGUGUGUGUGUUAGUGGAAGCGUCUGGAAAGGCGCGCGAUACAGGGUGACAGCCCCGUACACAAAAAUGCACAUAUUGUGAGCUCGAUGAGUAGGGCGGGACACGUGGUAUCCUGUCUGAAUAUGGGGGGACCAUCCUCCAAGGCUAAAUACUCCUGACUGACCGAUAGUGAACCAGUACCGUGAGGGAAAGGCGAAAAGAACCCCGGCGAGGGGAGUGAAAAAGAACCUGAAACCGUGUACGUACAAGCAGUGGGAGCACGCUUAGGCGUGUGACUGCGUACCUUUUGUAUAAUGGGUCAGCGACUUAUAUUCUGUAGCAAGGUUAACCGAAUAGGGGAGCCGAAGGGAAACCGAGUCUUAACUGGGCGUUAAGUUGCAGGGUAUAGACCCGAAACCCGGUGAUCUAGCCAUGGGCAGGUUGAAGGUUGGGUAACACUAACUGGAGGACCGAACCGACUAAUGUUGAAAAAUUAGCGGAUGACUUGUGGCUGGGGGUGAAAGGCCAAUCAAACCGGGAGAUAGCUGGUUCUCCCCGAAAGCUAUUUAGGUAGCGCCUCGUGAAUUCAUCUCCGGGGGUAGAGCACUGUUUCGGCAAGGGGGUCAUCCCGACUUACCAACCCGAUGCAAACUGCGAAUACCGGAGAAUGUUAUCACGGGAGACACACGGCGGGUGCUAACGUCCGUCGUGAAGAGGGAAACAACCCAGACCGCCAGCUAAGGUCCCAAAGUCAUGGUUAAGUGGGAAACGAUGUGGGAAGGCCCAGACAGCCAGGAUGUUGGCUUAGAAGCAGCCAUCAUUUAAAGAAAGCGUAAUAGCUCACUGGUCGAGUCGGCCUGCGCGGAAGAUGUAACGGGGCUAAACCAUGCACCGAAGCUGCGGCAGCGACGCUGAUGCGUUGUUGGGUAGGGGAGCGUUCUGUAAGCCUGCGAAGGUGUGCUGUGAGGCAUGCUGGAGGUAUCAGAAGUGCGAAUGCUGACAUAAGUAACGAUAAAGCGGGUGAAAAGCCCGCUCGCCGGAAGACCAAGGGUUCCUGUCCAACGUUAAUCGGGGCAGGGUGAGUCGACCCCUAAGGCGAGGCCGAAAGGCGUAGUCGAUGGGAAACAGGUUAAUAUUCCUGUACUUGGUGUUACUGCGAAGGGGGGACGGAGAAGGCUAUGUUGGCCGGGCGACGGUUGUCCCGGUUUAAGCGUGUAGGCUGGUUUUCCAGGCAAAUCCGGAAAAUCAAGGCUGAGGCGUGAUGACGAGGCACUACGGUGCUGAAGCAACAAAUGCCCUGCUUCCAGGAAAAGCCUCUAAGCAUCAGGUAACAUCAAAUCGUACCCCAAACCGACACAGGUGGUCAGGUAGAGAAUACCAAGGCGCUUGAGAGAACUCGGGUGAAGGAACUAGGCAAAAUGGUGCCGUAACUUCGGGAGAAGGCACGCUGAUAUGUAGGUGAAGUCCCUUGCGGAUGGAGCUGAAAUCAGUCGAAGAUACCAGCUGGCUGCAACUGUUUAUUAAAAACACAGCACUGUGCAAACACGAAAGUGGACGUAUACGGUGUGACGCCUGCCCGGUGCCGGAAGGUUAAUUGAUGGGGUCAGCGCAAGCGAAGCUCUUGAUCGAAGCCCCGGUAAACGGCGGCCGUAACUAUAACGGUCCUAAGGUAGCGAAAUUCCUUGUCGGGUAAGUUCCGACCUGCACGAAUGGCGUAAUGAUGGCCAGGCUGUCUCCACCCGAGACUCAGUGAAAUUGAACUCGCUGUGAAGAUGCAGUGUACCCGCGGCAAGACGGAAAGACCCCGUGAACCUUUACUAUAGCUUGACACUGAACAUUGAGCCUUGAUGUGUAGGAUAGGUGGGAGGCUUUGAAGUGUGGACGCCAGUCUGCAUGGAGCCGGCCUUGAAAUACCACCCUUUAAUGUUUGAUGUUCUAACGUUGACCCGUAAUCCGGGUUGCGGACAGUGUCUGGUGGGUAGUUUGACUGGGGCGGUCUCCUCCUAAAGAGUAACGGAGGAGCACGAAGGUUGGCUAAUCCUGGUCGGACAUCAGGAGGUUAGUGCAAUGGCAUAAGCCAGCUUGACUGCGAGCGUGACGGCGCGAGCAGGUGCGAAAGCAGGUCAUAGUGAUCCGGUGGUUCUGAAUGGAAGGGCCAUCGCUCAACGGAUAAAAGGUACUCCGGGGAUAACAGGCUGAUACCGCCCAAGAGUUCAUAUCGACGGCGGUGUUUGGCACCUCGAUGUCGGCUCAUCACAUCCUGGGGCUGAAGUAGGUCCCAAGGGUAUGGCUGUUCGCCAUUUAAAGUGGUACGCGAGCUGGGUUUAGAACGUCGUGAGACAGUUCGGUCCCUAUCUGCCGUGGGCGCUGGAGAACUGAGGGGGGCUGCUCCUAGUACGAGAGGACCGGAGUGGACGCAUCACUGGUGUUCGGGUUGUCAUGCCAAUGGCACUGCCCGGUAGCUAAAUGCGGAAGAGAUAAGUGCUGAAAGCAUCUAAGCACGAAACUUGCCCCGAGAUGAGUUCUCCCUGACUCCUUGAGAGUCCUGAAGGAACGUUGAAGACGACGACGUUGAUAGGCCGGGUGUGUAAGCGCAGCGAUGCGUUGAGCUAACCGGUACUAAUGAACCGUGAGGCUUAACCUU